RNAcentral lists this ribosomal RNA (253 nucleotides) under uncultured bacterium. RNAcentral describes it as "partial 16S ribosomal RNA". It matches the Rfam family "Bacterial small subunit ribosomal RNA", at positions 524 to 776 of the family's 1533-position model. The record is from RNAcentral.
UACAGAGGGGGCAAGCGUUAUUCGGAAUUACUGGGCGUAAAGCGCACGUAGGCGGCUUGGCAAGUCGGAUGUGAAAUCCCUCGGCUCAACCAAGGAAGUGCAUCCGAAACUGCUGAGCUUGAGUACUUAAGAGGAUCGCGGAAUUCCCGGUGUAGAGGUGAAAUUCGUAGAUAUCGGGAGGAACACCAGUGGCGAAGGCGGCGAUCUGGGAAGAUACUGACGCUGAGGUGCGAAAGCGUGGGGAGCAAACAGG